UACGUAGGUCACGAGCGUUGUCCGGAUUUAUUGGGCGUAAAGGGAGCGCAGGUGGUCUGUUAAGUCUGAUGUGAAAGCCCACGGCUCAACCGUGGAACUGCAUUGGAAACUGGCAGACUUGAGUGCAGAAGAGGAAAGUGGAAUUCCAUGUGUAGCGGUGAAAUGCGUAGAUAUAUGGAGGAACACCAGUGGCGAAGGCGACUUUCUGGUCUGUAACUGACACUGAGGCUCGAAAGCGUGGGGAGCAAACAGG
Molecule: ribosomal RNA, 253 nt
Filed under: uncultured bacterium
Lineage: Bacteria
Also listed under: 1 other name
Description: partial 16S ribosomal RNA
Rfam family: Bacterial small subunit ribosomal RNA
Source: RNAcentral